GGGGGGGGGGGGGGGGGGGGGGGGGGGGGGGGGGGGGGGGGGGGGGGGGGGGCGGGGGUGGGGUGGUCGAGGGGCGGACGGGUGGGUAACGCGUGAGUGACCUGCCCUUGACUUUGGGAUGGCUUCAGGAACCUGGGGCUACUACCGGAUAGGAGCUCCUGCUGCAUGGUGGGGGUUGGAAAGUUUCGGCGGUUGGGGAUGGACUCGCGGCGUAUCAGCUUGUUGGUGGGGUAGUGGCUUACCAAGGCUUUGACGGGUAGCCGGCCUGAGAGGGUGACCGGCCACAUUGGGACUGAGAUACGGCCCAGAAUCCUACGGGAGGCAGCAGUGGGGAAUAUUGCACAAUGGGCGGAAGCCUGAUGCAGCAACGCCGCGUGCGGGAUGACGGCCUUCGGGUUGUAAACCGCUUUCGCCUGUGACGAAGCGUGAGUGACGGUAAUGGGUAAAGAAGCACCGGCUAACUACGUG
RNAcentral lists this ribosomal RNA (468 nucleotides) under uncultured bacterium. RNAcentral describes it as "partial 16S ribosomal RNA". The stretch from base 48 to 468 matches the Rfam family "Bacterial small subunit ribosomal RNA", at positions 38 to 507 of the family's 1533-position model. The record is from RNAcentral.